RNAcentral lists this ribosomal RNA (433 nucleotides) under uncultured bacterium. Its description in RNAcentral is "partial 16S ribosomal RNA". It matches the Rfam family "Bacterial small subunit ribosomal RNA", at positions 29 to 507 of the family's 1533-position model. The record is from RNAcentral.
AGCGAACGCUGGCGGCAUGCCUAACACAUGCAAGUCGAACGAGACCUUCGGGUCUAGUGGUGCACGGGUGCGUAACGCGUGGGAACCUGCCCUUAGGUUCGGAAUAACUCCCCGAAAGGGGUGCUAAUACCGGAUAAUGUCUUCGGACCAAAGAUUUAUCGCCUUUGGAUGGGCCCGCGUUGGAUUAGCUAGUUGGUAGGGUAAAAGCCUACCAAGGCGACGAUCCAUAGCUGGUCUGAGAGGAUGAUCAGCCACACUGGGACUGAGACACGGCCCAGACUCCUACGGGAGGCAGCAGUGGGGAAUAUUGGACAAUGGGCGAAAGCCUGAUCCAGCAAUGCCGCGUGAGUGAUGAAGGCCUUAGGGUUGUAAAGCUCUUUUACCCGGGAUGAUAAUGACAGUACCGGGAGAAUAAGCUCCGGCUAACUCCGUG